UACGUAGGGACCGAGCGUUGUCCGGAUUUAUUGGGCGUAAAGAGCGUGUAGGCGGCCUGGAAGGUCCGUUGUGAAAACUCGAGGCUCAACCUCGAGACGUCGAUGGAAACCCUCAGGCUAGAGUCCGGAAGAGGAGAGUGGAAUUCCUGGUGUAGCGGUGAAAUGCGCAGAUAUCAGGAAGAACACCUAUGGCGAAGGCAGCUCUCUGGGACGGUACUGACGCUGAGACGCGAAAGCGUGGGGAGCGAACAGG
This 253-nucleotide ribosomal RNA is filed under the name uncultured bacterium. RNAcentral describes it as "partial 16S ribosomal RNA". It matches the Rfam family "Bacterial small subunit ribosomal RNA", at positions 524 to 776 of the family's 1533-position model. The record is from RNAcentral.